Molecule: ribosomal RNA, 2483 nt
Filed under: human oral metagenome
Description: bacterial LSU rRNA
Rfam family: Bacterial large subunit ribosomal RNA
Source: RNAcentral
GUUAGUUUUUAAGAGCGUUCGGUGGAUGCCUUGGUAUCAGGGGCCGAUGAAGGACGUGGUGGACUGCGAUAAGCCUCGGGGAGCUGUCUGACAGGCUUUGAUCCGAGGGUUUCCGAAUAGGGGAACCUAGCAAGAGUAAUGUCUUGUUACCUGCGCCUGAAUGUAUAGGGCGUGUGGGGGUGUACGCGGGGAAGUGAAACAUCUUAGUACCCGCAGGAAAAGAUAUUCCGUUAGUAGUGGCGAGCGAAAGCGGAUUAGGUGAAACCGUGUUAGUGUGAUAGACGCCAGUUGUUGCUGAUGCGGGGUUGUGGGGCGUGUUUGUUACAUUCUCUGGCGGGGGUGUGCGUAGUUAUAAAUGUUUGGUGUAGUUGAAUAGUCUGGGAAGGCUAAGCGUAGACGGUGAUACUCCGGUAGGCGAAACAUCAGGCACUGCGUUGGACAUGUUUUCCCCAAGUAGCACGGGGCUCGUGGAAUCUUGUGUGAAUUUGCUAAGACCACUUAGCUGCCUAAAUACUUCCUGGUAACCGAUAGCGGAUAAGUACCGUGAGGGAAUGGUGAAAAGUACCCCGGGAGGGGAGUGAAAUAGUACCUGAAACCGGGCGCUUACAAGCCGUCAAAGCCCUUUUUUGGGGGUGAUGGCGUGCCUAUUGAAGAAUGAGCCUGCGAGUUAGUGGCGUGUCGCGAGGUUAACCCGUGUGGGGGAUCCGUAGCGAAAGCGAGUCUGAAAGGGCGUAUAGUGGCACGUUCUAGACCCGAAGCGGGGUGAUCUACCCAUGGCCAGGUUGAAGCACGUGUAAGAGCGUGUGGAGGACCGAACCCACUUCAGUUGAAAAUGGAGGGGAUGAGCUGUGGGUAGGGGUGAAAGGCCAAUCAAACUCCGUGAUAGCUGGUUCUCCCCGAAAUGCAUUUAGGUGCAGCGUUGCGUGGUUCCGGGCGGGGGUAGAGCUACUGGAUGGCUGAUGGGCCUUACAGGGUUACUGACGUCAACCAAACUCCGAAUACCGUCCGGGUAUAGCGUGGCAGUGAGACAGCGGGGGAUAAGCUCCGUUGUCGAGAGGGAAACAGCCCAGAUCGCCGGCUAAGGCCCCUAAGCGUGUGCUAAGUGGGAAAGGAUGUGCGGUCGCGUUGACAACCAGGAGGUUGGCUUAGAAGCAGCCAUCCUUGAAAGAGUGCGUAAUAGCUCACUGGUCAAGUGAUCGUGCGCCGACAAUGUAGCGGGGCUCAAGCACACCGCCGAAGCCGCGGAUCCUCAACAAAUACCCUGUCGCUAUGCGGCCAGGGGUUGGGGGUGGUAGGGGAGCGUUGUGUACUGGGUGAAGCGGCCGAGUAAUUGUGUCGUGGACGGUACGCAAGUGAGAAUGCAGGCAUGAGUAGCGAUACUAGGGUGAGAAACCCUAGCGCCGAAUGACCAAGGGUUCCAGGGCUAGGCUAGUCCGCCCUGGGUGAGUCGGGUCCUAAGGCGAGGCCGACAGGCGUAGUCGAUGGAUAACCGGUUGAUAUUCCGGUACCGGCUGGUAACCGUCAAGUGUUGACUGAAAGGUACUAACCCACGCUAAAAACACGGCUGAAUGCCUUUUGGGUGUUUGGUUGUGGUUUUGGUUUGGGGACAGGCUUUCUUGGUAGGCAAGCGUGUGGAGUGACGCACAGUGGAAGCCUUCGCGAGGUGAUGGUUUAUCCUCGUUUAACCGUGUAGCUUACUGCUCAGGUAAAUCCGGGUGGUUUUAUGUGAGGCGGGAUGAUGACCAUCUUUUGGUGGGAAGUAGGGGUGAUCCUGUGGUGCCGAGAAAAGCUUCGACGCGAGGUUGUUAGCCGCCCGUACCCUAAACCGACACAGGUGGUCGGGCAGAGUAUGCCUAGGCGCACGAGAUAAUCAUGGUUAAGGAACUCGGCAAAAUGCCCCCGUAACUUCGGGAGAAGGGGGGCCUGAUACUUGAUGAAACCAUUUUUGGCUUUCUAGGGUUGAGGGUCGCAGAGACCAGGGAGAAGCGACUGUUUACUAAAAACACAGGUGCGUGCGAAGCCGUAAGGCGAUGUAUACGUACUGACGCCUGCCCGGUGCUGGAAGGUUAAGAGGAACCGUCAGCUGACUUUUUGUUGGUGAAGCGGUGAAUUUAAGCCCCAGUAAACGGCGGUGGUAACUAUAACCAUCCUAAGGUAGCGAAAUUCCUUGUCGGGUAAGUUCCGACCUGCACGAAUGGCGUAACGACUUCUCUACUGUCUCAACCAUGAACUCGGCGAAAUUGCAUUACGAGUAAAGAUGCUCGUUACGCGCAGAAGGACGGAAAGACCCCGGGACCUUUACUAUAGCUUGGUAUUGGUGCGCGUUAUAGCUUGUGUAGGAUAGGUGGGAGACUGUGAAGUGGUCACGCUAGUGAUUGUGGAGUCGUUGUUGAAAUACCACUCUGGUUAUAGCGUGUGCCUGAACCUUGGCCCGUGAUCCGGGUUAGGGACAGUGCCUGGUGGGUAGUUUAACUGGGGCGGUU